Molecule: ribosomal RNA, 469 nt
Filed under: uncultured bacterium
Lineage: Bacteria
Description: partial 16S ribosomal RNA
Rfam family: Bacterial small subunit ribosomal RNA
Source: RNAcentral
GACGAACGCUGGCGGCGUGCUUAACACAUGCAAGUCGAACGGAAAGGCCCUGCUUGCCGGGUGCUCGAGUGGCGAACGGGUGAGUAACACGUGGGUGAUCUGCCCCUUACUUUGGGAUAAGCCUGGGAAACUGGGUCUAAUACUGGAUAGGACCAUGCCGUAGGUGGUGUGGUGGAAAGAUUAGUUUCGGUAAGGGAUGAGCUCGCGGCCUAUCAGCUUGUUGGUGGGGUAAUGGCCUACCAAGGCGUCGACGGGUAGCCGGCCUGAGAGGGUGGACGGCAACAUUGGGACUGAGAUACGGCACAGACUCCUACGGGAGGCAGCAGUGGGGAAUAUUGCACAAUGGGCGCAAGCCUGAUGCAGCGACGCCGCGGGGGGGAUGACGGCCUUCGGGUUGUAAACUCCUUUCAGCCAUGACGAAGCCCUUGUGGUGACGGUAGUGGUAGAAGAAGCACCGGCUAACUACGUG